GCCGCGCAUGCCCGAUUUUAGAAAGAGCCGAACACGAUCGAGGAGGGGAGGCACGCCUGCCAUCGAUCCAUCCAUCCCAGCCUGGCCGCCGGGCGAGCGACGCCGCUGGCUAGCUCGAUUCGAUCUGGCGCGGCGCGGCGACAGCUAGCAGCUAGCUCGUUACCUAGCGCGGCCGCGUCCGCAGCGCCGGGCGCCAUCGACCCGUCGCUCGAUCGUGCCCUUGUUAUGCGCUAGAUCGAUGCAACCAACCACCUCAGCCUGACAACCACCCCUCUCGCGCGCGGCGGGAUCGGAGUAGGAAAAUCCUAGCCAGCCAGCCAGCCAGCCAGCCAGCCGCGGAAUGUUCCGGCGCUGCACGUUCUCCGCUCGUCGCUGCCAUACCGCGGGCCCAACACGUGCGUGCCCGGCUACCUCCCCCAACCCCUCGGCCUAUAUAUCCGGCUUCCCAACACCCGUCUCUCCCCACCUCUCCCAUCUCCCCCAUCGAUCUCGCAAAAGAACGCCAGCGUCCGUGCCGCGUGCGGUGGCCGCGGCGGCGGUGUGCGUUGAAGGGGCGCGGCGCGGCUGCUUAGCUCGGCAAGGACCGGUACGGGCGCUGGGCGGUGACAGAAGAGAGUGAGCACACGGCCGGUCGUUACGGCACCGCCCGGGUGUGCCGUCGCGGCCGCGUGCUCACUGCUCUUCCUGUCAUCCACUCUCCCGCUUCCCUUCCGGCCUUCGCCGUGGCUGGCUGCACGCGCUAGCACACCGCCGCCGCGUCCACAGCAGAGGCCGGCUGGCCGGCCGGCCGGCCGUCGUUUUUGCGUCAUCGUAUGCCGUACAGACUAACCCGCAAUUUUGUGUUCAUGCCGCUCUCUGCAAGUUUCCAUUUCUGGGAGGCUAGAGCGUACGGCGCCGCGCGCGUGGGUACGCUUUCGCGCACGGAUUCCCUCCCUUUUCUCUCGGUACGAUACGAAGAUGCUCCCUUUUGCUUUGAUAAAUUCUCUCAUCUUUUCCAAGGGAUUUUACCGUUAACCGCUGCUCCUCGCUCCGGCCUUGGGAAGGGAAAAAGGCAUUUACUGCGGCGCCGCUGAUUGAUUCAGCUAUAGCUGGUUCCAAGAAUCUGGAUCUUGGAGCAACCAAGAUCAACCUACUGAGUAGGCCGGAGAUGGACGAUCUAGAGGCAAAUGUGCGCAUGGAUCGAUAGCUCAGAUCUGCUUACCACUUGACUCUUUUCUUGCCAGGUAAUUGCAGAUUUCUUGCGCAGCGCUGCGCUGCAUGCUGUCCCUAUGUUCUUCAAUUUCUUACACGUUGCGUCACUGUCGAAAGUAAUUGCGUGGUGUAACAUAUAUUUGUCUCCGAUAGCCAGCUGCUUGCUGCUGGAGUAAAGGGUAGGGACUGCUACCUAGGUCAUUGUCGGGCACGUCACUGUUCCAUUGGUGACGUCUCGUACUUAUCUCCAGGAAGAAAAGCGGCCGCGCCUAGUUAUCUCUAGGAUUGAUUCUUCCUCUGAACACAUGUGUGGAGUUAGAUCCAGCGAUCAGUUGAUUUAGGCUCAGUUUACGGUUUGUUGCGCUAUACUUCGUCGUGUUUAGUUCAUAAUUUGUUUAGGAAAUUAGCCAUGAAGUAGUCAAAUGCGGAUAAACAAACAUAAUAUAAGAUUGCAAGAAUUCGCAGCAAUAGUAAACGGAGCCUUGGGAUAGAUCUAGAUGUGCAACUCCUGUUGUUUCGUGUCUCUCUCUUGCUCAAGGAUUUAGUUUUGCUUGCUGCCUCAUUAUAGACACGUACGAUUAAUUCAAAAAGGUGACCACACAAAAAAUAGAGAUCAAUGGUAACGACAUUAGAUUACUCUUGAAAGGUGCUGCUCUCUCUUACAAUAUAGAUCGAAGUGAACCAUAAAAUGUUCGUCUUUUUUCAACAUAAAAUGCAUUACUCUCUAUAAAGCGUGUUGUAAAAAUAAUAAUAAUUGUGCAUCAAUUUUUUUUUUUGAGAAAUGAGAAAAACAGUACAGAUAUAGACACCCACAACAUGUACGCAUCCUCUACCCUUAUGCAUGAAUGCCCAGUCCUGAUGAGCAUCUCCAAGAGACUGAACUGAGAUAAUUUAAGAUUAACAAUUUAAUCACAAGCACCUCGCAGUCGACGGGUUGGUCAUACCAAUAAGAAACAAUAUAGUUUGCCACCUCAAAAAAGAAACUACCUUUUUUCAAACAAUCAGAAACUACCUUUUUCAGUUUGUUGAAUGCAAGUUUUCUGUUAAAAUGCAUCAUUUAACUCCUCUAUUUCUUAGUUUCUCGUUAAUUUAUUAAGAACCAUUCUGUGCUAGCAUACUUGUGUAUAUGUUCCCAAUAUGCUAUAGUUCUCACCUAAUAUGGAAGUUUGAUUGCCGUUUCUAUUCACUUUGUUUUAUAUCUGUAGAAUAAUCCCUCCAAGUCGACAUGUAAUUAAGUCCUUGUGCACAAGAUUUUUUUUUUGAAAGCCUUGCGCCCAAGAGUUAGCUAUGUCGGUAACAUCCCAAUAUGACACCUUUGAAUUAUUCGCACAACUUUUUUUAUCCUCACAAAUACAACAAAUAUUCUUACGCAUUGUCUUACGUCACAUUAUUCAUAAACUAUGGAGCCACCUCAUGGUGGACGGUUGAGUUGUGCCCACUGCUCACAUUUACACACACGCCCACUCGCAGGUUUAACCCUGGUCUGCGUUAUUCUAGUGUGACUAGGAGACAAGGUAAGGGGUGUGUGUUUAUUGUGCCGGCCAGCCCGGCCUGUGUAGUGGCGUUCUGUUUAUACGUCUUUUUUUCUCUAAAGAAUAUCUGAUAUACUAGCACUCAUGCACACAGGACAACAUGCAAAUUAAGAGCUUCUUUGAUUUGUAAGAUUCUAAAAGCAUGGGAAUAGAAAAAACAUAUGAUUGAAUUGAAAUGGUCAUCUCAAUUCUACAAUAUUUUAGGCUUUUUGAUUGCAUUAUAUGAACAGACAAAUGAUUCGUUCAAAAAGGUUUGAGCGGAUGCUAGAAAUCCUUUGGGAAGUAAACAUAAAUCCAUCCAAAAAGUUCUAUAGAAUUCAAUCUUAUGAAUCAAACAACCAACAUAGAAAAAUAUUCCAAAAGAACUCUAGUCCUUCAAAAUUUCUAUGAAAAUUCUUUGAAUCAACCGAGCCUAAUUGGUAAUCCCUGUAUAGGGACCACCAGUACGUAUAGUAGAGCUUGGGUAGUGGAGGAGUUAUGGACCUCUUAGAGUGAAUAAUCUCAUAGGUUAGUAUCAUAUAUACGACAUUAAUGUAUGUUAUAGUAGUUUAUGAUACUUACUCUUAAUUAUAUAUUACCUUCGUCCAGAAAAAGCUUGUCUUACAUUUAUUAAGAUAUGGAAGUAUCAAAUAAUAAAAUGUCGAAAACACUAACGCCCACACGUGUGGGCGUCUGACAACUCGCCCACAUGCAUGGAUCCUCAUCCAACUAAUUCUACAUGAAUCUUGGUGCGUUCUAGCAGUUUUUGUGUGCCAUGUAGGGCGAAGCUAGUGUGUGGGCAUUCAUCCGAUCGCUCACACGUCCUUUUUCACCACACGGGGGGUUGGUGUGUGGGCGUUUAGCAAUUCGCUCACACACCAGUUUUCACGCACGCAGAGGGGCUGGUGUGUGGACGUUUAGCAAUUCGUCCACACGCCUGUCUCCUCGCCUACACCCAAAGCUGGCAGUUGCCAUGUGUUUCUGUAGGGUACAUGGCAACUGCCCUACCUUUGCUUGUAAGCAGAUGGCAAUUCUCUUACCUAAGUUGCCAUGUGUUUUUGCAUGGUACAUGGCAACUGCUCUAGCGUGCACGUAAGCAGAUGGCAACUUUUUCUCUUUACAAGGCAACUGCCCUAGCGUGCUUGUGAGCACAUGGCAACUCUCUCUUUUACCCGAACAUGUUUUUUGCCAUGCCUUUUUGUAGUGCUACAUGGCAACUGCCUAGUGUUAGUGGGUGGACACUUCUAAAGUUUUGAAAUCAUGGCAACUGCAGUAGAUCAGACCAUAUAUAACAACUGUAGUUGUCCGACAUGGCAACCGAAGUUCAGCGACAUGGCAACUGCAGUUAAACGAACAUUGACGAGGGUCUGGACCAUGGCAACUGCGGGGUGCGCGGUGACUGUCACGCGGGGCGUGCAGGACCACGAGGUAUGAGGCCUGACGUAUGGGGCGUGUGGGCGUUAUCUAUUUCGUCCACACGCACGCGUGUGAGAGGGACUGAGAGGGAAAAAAGGUGUGUGUGCAUUACUUGUUUUGCCCACACGUAGGUGUGUGCGUUGUUUCUCUUAUACACCACACAAAAUAUGUAGGCAGACACUCUAACGCUCACAUGUGUGGCAUUUAUCAGCGUCCUAAAAUGUUUUUAGACACAUCCGUAUCUAGACAAAUCUAAAAAAAAACUAUUUUGGGACAGAGGGAGUAGUAUUAUAUUGGUUGUAUUUUAGGGCAUGCAUGGCUAAUAAUAAACCGGCCACUGGCUUUAUCUCAUUGCAUUGCAUAUCAUUUGUAGUCAAUCUAAUUUCACUGAUAUCUAUAUCUAUAACACUAUAUAGUGUAUGAAUAACUUUGAAUGUCAGCUGGAUGAAACUAGUUCAACUGUAGAGAUGUGUCAAAUUAGAGCGUUGUUGGUCAUUCGAUAACCUCUUCACUCUACCUGACUGCCACAUGUACUAUCUACAAGAUUCCGUGGUUGAUGAACAAACUUAUAGAAAAAACAAGCACUUCUUUGUUUUGGAAUGUUCUAUAUUUUAAUUCUUCAAUUUUUCCUUCUAAACAAAUUACAAUGUACAAACUUCAAAUCAUAAACACUUCUCUUUGUUCUAGACCCUUCUAUGCAUUUUCUUUUUAAAAAAUUGCCAUUAAAUUUUAGUUUAUGAUUUUUUUAUGUCAUGCCUAUAACAGCGGUAUAUAUAUAUAUUUCCUACAAGCAGUGGUAGUUACUACCACUUGCGUUUUGUAUGUUGUAUGUAGUAUCUGACGAAACCGAGAGUAUGUACGUGUAGUAUGUAGUAUAUAACAAUGAUUAGGUAGUAUAUAUACUAAUUUUUAGGUAGUAUAUAUCUUGUUUUAAGUAUACUCUUUUUUACGUACAAAUAUGUACGUAUUUCGCAAAUAUAACAAAAAUUAUGGGCUCAUAUGCAAUUUUUUCAUAUAACUUACUUUGAAAUAUCUUAGAUAAGUACAUGAACAUAUUUAAAAUAAUAAAAUAAUAUAUAUAUAGUAUCACAUGGUAGUAUAUGAGACAUGUGAGGUAACUACUCCAGGUGGUAGGAUGGAUUUUCUAUAUAUAUAUAUAUAUAUAUAUAUAUAUGAAAUACUGGCUAAGCCAGGGGCAACCCCGUGCAUUCACAGUGCUAUGAUUCAAAGCUUAUAUGAUUGCCACGUGCCCCUGGUUUGCAUCUGCUUUAGGCAAGUUUUAGAGGGUCGCCUGCUGGUUUUUGAUGGGUUAGUUCACCGCCUAUAUUUCACUCUGCAGUAGAAAUAUAGAGUCCGCUACCACCGCCAUUGAUUCCACCGCUAGCGAGGCCCUUUUUUUCCUUUUUGCUCACUGUAAAAAAUAACGCCACGCUAUAGCACGUCUUAUUAAAUAAAUUAGUGUACAAUUUCUCACUAAUAGCACAGUUCAUUCUUGAUUUUUAAUGAUUUUUUGGAUUGCGCCGGUCUGUUCGGUCCACCAAUCACUGUAAUUUUAGGCUAUGUACGGAGAACCAACCUUCUUAGGCUGACACAUGUAUUAUUUUUUACCUGGUUCAUUUCCGGCUUUUAUUGAUUUUUUUGUACUGCAUUGAUCUGCUCAGUUCACCGAUCAGUUGAAAGGAUCGAUAUAAUUGACUAGAGGAGGGUAAAUAGGCAACUAUCAAUUUUUAGCUAUUUUAAAUAAAUUAGGCUUGAAAAUAAAAAUAGGUUAUACAUGUAAAAAGUGUACACAUCAAAGACAAGAGAUAACUCUAGACUUGUGCAAAAUUUUGCCUGAACAAAUAAU
This is a long non-coding RNA of Triticum aestivum (bread wheat), 5964 nucleotides long. RefSeq lists it as uncharacterized. The record is from RefSeq and is a predicted model, not a curated record. Lineage: Eukaryota; Viridiplantae; Streptophyta; Magnoliopsida; Poales; Poaceae. The transcript has 2 exons.